AUUAUUCAACAAUAUUUAUGAGUAGCUUGGCUAGGCCUAAUAUGUGCUCCGUUGUGGAUAAAAGCCAUUCCACUUAUUGUGCCUGCAAGAUUAACAUUUCAUCUACCAGGAAUGCAGAAGAAUAAAGGAUAGUUGGCAGUCCAACUGUUUUGAGUUGUCCUUUUAUUCUGAUAUUUUGCAAAAUUUAGGUUCAGACAUUUGACAACAAGCUUACAUUACAUGCCCAUGAACAGGUAGAUACCCUAGGAUGCCAUAACAUUACAAAUGUCAUUCAGAUCACAAUCUAAUUUCUUCCCUUGGUCAUCCACAAAAAAUGACAGCAUGUAAGCUUACAAUACUUACCAUGCUCUCAUUGAAGCUCAAUA
RNAcentral lists this unclassified non-coding RNA (365 nucleotides) under Hevea brasiliensis (rubber tree). Lineage: Eukaryota; Viridiplantae; Streptophyta; Magnoliopsida; Malpighiales; Euphorbiaceae. The record is from RNAcentral.